UGGCUUAUGAUGAUAAUUUAAAUUAUCUUAGCGGAUUUCAGUGAGAUAUUAUUGUCAAUGAUCUGAUUGUUACACACACUGAGGCCU
Molecule: non-coding RNA, 87 nt
Organism: Corchorus olitorius
Lineage: Eukaryota; Viridiplantae; Streptophyta; Magnoliopsida; Malvales; Malvaceae
Source: Rfam